UACGUAGGGGGCGAGCGUUGUCCGGAUUUAUUGGGCGUAAAGAGCUCGUAGGCGGCUCGGUAAGUCGGGUGUGAAACCUCCAGGCUCAACCUGGAGACGCCACCUGAUACUGCUGUGGCUAGAGUCCGGUAGGGGAGUGUGGAACUCCUGGUGUAGCGGUGAAAUGCGCAGAUAUCAGGAAGAACACCAGCGGCGAAGGCGGCACUCUGGGCCGGAACUGACGCUGAGGAGCGAAAGCGUGGGUAGCAAACAGG
This 254-nucleotide ribosomal RNA is filed under the name uncultured bacterium. RNAcentral's name for it is "partial 16S ribosomal RNA". It matches the Rfam family "Bacterial small subunit ribosomal RNA", at positions 524 to 776 of the family's 1533-position model. The record is from RNAcentral.